RNAcentral lists this ribosomal RNA (254 nucleotides) under uncultured bacterium. Its description in RNAcentral is "partial 16S ribosomal RNA". It matches the Rfam family "Bacterial small subunit ribosomal RNA", at positions 524 to 776 of the family's 1533-position model. The record is from RNAcentral.
UACGGGGGGAGCAAGCGUUGUUCGGAUUUACUGGGCGUAAAGGGCGCGUAGGCGGCCACCGCAAGUCGACUGUGAAAUCUCCGGGCUUAACCCAGAAAGGUCAGCCGAUACUGCGGGGCUAGAGUGCAGAAGGGGCAACUGGAAUUCUCGGUGUAGCGGUGAAAUGCGUAGAUAUCGAGAGGAACACCUGCGGCGAAGGCGGGUUGCUGGGCUGACACUGACGCUGAGGCGCGAAAGCUAGGGGAGCGAACGGG